This 254-nucleotide ribosomal RNA is filed under the name uncultured bacterium. Its description in RNAcentral is "partial 16S ribosomal RNA". It matches the Rfam family "Bacterial small subunit ribosomal RNA", at positions 524 to 776 of the family's 1533-position model. The record is from RNAcentral.
UACGUAGGGGGCAAGCGUUGUCCGGAAUUACUGGGCUUAAAGAGUUCGUAGGCGGCGCAGAAAGUAGGGUGUGAAAGCCCUCGGCUUAACCGAGGAAUUGCGCUCUAAACUACUGUGCUUGAGGAACCUAGAGGUGAGCAGAACUGAUGGUGGAGCGGUGAAAUGCGUUGAUAUCAUCAGGAAUACCGGAGGCGAAGGCGGCUCACUGGGGGUUUUGCUGACGCUGAGGAACGAAAGCCAGGGGAGCGAACGGG